RNAcentral lists this ribosomal RNA (253 nucleotides) under uncultured prokaryote. RNAcentral's name for it is "partial 16S ribosomal RNA". It matches the Rfam family "Bacterial small subunit ribosomal RNA", at positions 525 to 777 of the family's 1533-position model. The record is from RNAcentral.
ACGAAGGGUGCAAGCGUUAAUCGGAAUUACUGGGCGUAAAGGGUGCGUAGGCGGUUCGUUAAGUCUGUCGUGAAAUCCCCGGGCUCAACCUGGGAAUGGCGAUGGAUACUGGCGAGCUAGAGUGUGUCAGAGGAUGGUGGAAUUCCGGGUGUAGCGGUGGAAUGCGUAGAGAUCCGGAAGAACACCGGUGGCGAAGGCGGCCUGCUGGGCAGUGGCUGACGCUGAGGCGCGACAGCGUGGGGAGCAAACAGGA